UACGUAGGGGGCAAGCGUUGUCCGGAUUUAUUGGGCGUAAAGAGCGUGUAGGCGGCCAGGUAGGUCCGUUGUGAAAACUCGAGGCUCAACCUCGAGACGUCGGCGGAAACCCUCUGGCUAGAGUCCGGAAGAGGAGAGUGGAAUUCCUGGUGUAGCGGUGAAAUGCGCAGAUAUCAGGAAGAACACCCGUGGCGAAGGCGGCUCUCUAGUACGGUACUGACGCUGAGACGCGAAAGCGUGGGGAGCGAACAGG
This 253-nucleotide ribosomal RNA is filed under the name uncultured bacterium. RNAcentral's name for it is "partial 16S ribosomal RNA". It matches the Rfam family "Bacterial small subunit ribosomal RNA", at positions 524 to 776 of the family's 1533-position model. The record is from RNAcentral.